GAUGAACGCUAGCGGGAGGCCUAACACAUGCAAGCCGAGCGGUAUUGUUUCUUCGGACAUGAGAGAGCGGCGUACGGGUGCGUAACACGUGUGCAACCUGCCUUUAUCUGGGGGAUAGCCUUUCGAAAGGAAGAUUAAUACUCCAUAAUAUAUUGAACGGCAUCGUUUAAUAUUGAAAGCUCCGGCGGAUAGGGAUGGGCACGCGCAAGAUUAGCUAGUUGGUGAGGUAACGGCUCACCAAGGCGAUGAUCUUUAGGGGGCCUGAGAGGGUGAUCCCCCACACUGGUACUGAGACACGGACCAGACUCCUACGGGAGGCAGCAGUGAGGAAUAUUGGUCAAUGGGUGCAAGCCUGAACCAGCCAUCCCGCGUGAAGGACGACUGCCCUAUGGGUUGUAAACUUCUUUUGUAUAGGGAUAAACCUACCCUCGAGAGGGUAGCUGAAGGUACUAUACGAAUAAGCACCGGCUAACUCCGUG
RNAcentral lists this ribosomal RNA (479 nucleotides) under uncultured bacterium. Its description in RNAcentral is "partial 16S ribosomal RNA". It matches the Rfam family "Bacterial small subunit ribosomal RNA", at positions 28 to 507 of the family's 1533-position model. The record is from RNAcentral.